CAUGGAAUUAAUGCUGUAUAGUCUCAAUUUGAGACAUAAGAUGUGUCAGUCAUGCGGAAAAAGGAUGGUGUCUACUUCCCUUCGGCACCCUGGCAUAAUUUCAACUCUGUCAACUUUGCAUAGACUUCAACCUGGACAGGGUGCUUGAGCUCCAACAUUGUAACGACAGAGUACACUUGGCUGACAUUGACUAGUAAUUUUUCCAGUAGACUUCACAGCUUAAGGAAAAACAUCAAACAAAUCACUCAGAAAAGAAAACCCAUAUGAAGACAAUUGUACAUGAGUGACGAUGAGUUUUUUACAGCUCUGCUUAAACGGCCAUCUUAUCAAUUUAGUAGAUGAAUUAAACUCACUCCCACGGAAUUAGUAGUACUCCGAGUGCAUCAUUGUAGUGUUGCUGCAUCAAAACUCAUCGAUUUUAGCUGUUGCCACAAACACACACAGUUAGAGGAGUCUAGAGUAUCAUUUACCAGCUUUAAGGUUUACAAAUUUGUUUAGAAUUCAGUAUAUUGUAUAAUUACCUGCGGUAGCCAGAGUGAUGCCAGCAUGGGGCCAUGGAGGGGACAGAUCACCGUUGGGGUAAAACAGAUUUCAUUGGGGGGAAAAAAAAUUAUAUGUAUUUUUAAAAUCUGAGAGAUACGAGCAUGUACCUCCUUUUAACAUAGUUUUAUAGCUUAAAAUCUAAGGGAUACAGAGUGUCUGUACCUUCUUUGACGUUAGUUUUUUACCUUAAAAUCUGAGAGAUACAGUGUCUGUUCCUUCAUUUACCACAGUUUUAUAGCUUAAAAUUUGAGGGAUUGCCCUAGACAAAAUUACCUACUGUAACGCUAUCAGUUCAGUUUCUGAAGGUCCUUAAUUUUGUCUUCAGAUUUCUCUCAAAACAGGGAGUAUUCAUUUAUAAAAUGGAUGUUUUGGUUAUUUUAAUCUUCAUAUUUUUAAUGUACAGUAAUCAAUUGUACACAUAAAUUAAUAUCUACUUUUGGAUGUUAAGUAUCAGGCAAGUUAAUCUGUGGGUUUGUAAAUAUUGAAUAAGGUAAUUGAACUAGAUAAUCUCAAAAAUAAUGUGCUCUACAGUACUUAUUGUGGUUGAAAUAUACAUUUUUUCUAUAUAUUGUUUUAUAUAUUGUAUUGAUGCUAUGAAAAUGAUGAUAAAACAAUGUUAAUAAAAACAUAAUGAGUAUUUUCAGGAACCGUCAUAAUGUACAAAUCAACCUUAAAGUGAAAAUAGCUAAAUUUCGGCAAAAAUGCGAAGGAGCUGGUUUUGACUACACAAUUGGGCAAUUUUUACUCUGCCAUUUUCAGAUUGUUUUGUGUUCUGGCACGGGUCAGAAAAUACUAUCUAUGCUUCAAAAUGCCACUUAAAUCCUACUUUUAAGGCAUUAUUAAGUAUAUAGGCAUAAUUACAGUAUAAUUUGUGUUGGGAGGUCAUAUUUAUCAAACAACCUCAGAAAUUAGAAUUCACAAACCAUGUUCUAUAUUUUAUGCAAUCCGCACAAGUUUAUCACUUCACAAUGGCAUAACUACUGCAGGUUCAAACGGUUCAUUGAACCAGGGCCCCUGAUCUCCAGGGUCCCCCGAUCUGUAAGUGCCUGUCCCCUUAUAAAAUAUCGAAUAAAACAAUGCAUAGUUAAACAUCUGUAUUUAUAGUAUUUAUCUUUAUACUGCAUGUACUCUUGAACCAAGGCCCCUCAGAACCUAGUUGCACCACUGUCACUGCCUCCUCAUACUGUACCUUCAGAAAUACUUCAUGCUAAGUUAAAAUCACAAUCUCAUAGCUUACCCAUCAACACCAGUAGGCCUACA
This 1803-nucleotide long non-coding RNA is filed under the name Anneissia japonica. RNAcentral describes it as "uncharacterized LOC117108676". Lineage: Eukaryota; Metazoa; Echinodermata; Crinoidea; Comatulida; Comatulidae. The record is from RNAcentral.